This is a long non-coding RNA of Mirounga angustirostris (Northern elephant seal), 2716 nucleotides long. RefSeq lists it as uncharacterized. The transcript has 3 exons. NCBI's taxonomy places the organism in Eukaryota, Metazoa, Chordata, Mammalia, Carnivora, Phocidae. The record is from RefSeq and is a predicted model, not a curated record.
UCGGGGGGGUGGGCGGAGCCAAGGGGCGGGGUCGAGUCCCGGAACUUCUGGGCUGAAUUCGCUUCCCCCAUCGCCGCACUCCCGGUGGGGAAGGGGCCGCAGCGCCCCCUGGACUCGGCUGCCGCUCCCUGCGGCGGAAGGACGUGAAAGCCACCUGCAGGCUCGGGACCCGGGCGCGCCAGGGCUGGUAUUCUGAGACCCACGCCGCCUAGGGCCCCGCAGAGUGAAUUUCCAGGUCUUCAGUAAAGGCGAACGAGGACGGAGCUCCCCCGACUUCCGGCGCUACCUGGGUGUGCGGUAGACUGGAACGAGCGUUUGGCUGAAGGAAGAGUGCGGGCGGGGGGUAGGGAGCUUGAGGUGGCUUUGGGGGCUUCUUGGUGCAGCGAGAAUGCAAAGGAUUAAACAGUUAAACAAGCAGGCAUACCGUGGUAAAUAAUGUCCGCCACCACCAACGACUACGUCUUCAGAACUUCCGUACCUGUAAUUCUAAUUACUACCAAGUACAUACUAUAAAUAAACCCAAUUGUCAUUUGCAUUAGAAGAUAAAGAUAGGAGAUUAUUGUGUGGAUCCCAGUGAAGCCGGAAUAAAGAUGUGAAGCCUUAAGAAAACAGUGGAAUAAAAAAAAAAAAUCUGCCCCCUGCAGGGAAUUAUUUUUUGUGUAUUUCUUACUCUUGAAAACAUGGGGGAGGAGUAUUUUAUUUCAUUUGGGGGGGGGAGGUAUUUUAGACACUGAUUUGUAGUGAGUGUAAUGCUUGUAUAUUGCUGUCCUGAUUCAAUGUUCCAAAAUUUAUUUUAAAAAUUUGUAGCAUCGGAUUAUUACAAUUACUCUUGGACGAUAAACCGGUAUAACAGGCACCACGCAAGACGCAUUUUGGACACUAGAGGGCACUGGUCUUUUUUCCCAAGAAAAAAGUAAGAAGAAAGAAUACAUAGCAUCGCACUUGUUGAUUUUUUUUUUAAGAUUGUAUUUUUAAGUAAUCUCUGCACCCAAGAGGAGGCUUUAACUCACAACCCGAGAUCAAGACUCCUAUGCUCUACCACUGAGCCAGCCAGCUCUAACACCGCUAUACCUCAGAAUGUGACUGUGUUUGGAGACAGGACCUUUAAAGAGAUUUCAUCUGACAGAGAGAGAGCACAAGCAGGGGGAGCAGCAGAGGGAGAGGGAAAAGCAGGCCCCCACUGAGCAGGGAGCCCAAUGCAAUGCGGGGCUUGAUCCCAGGACCCUGGGAUCAUGACCUGAGCCGAAGGCAGAUGCUUAACCAACUGAGCCACCAGGUGCCCCUGACUAGUGUCUUUAUAAGAAGAGGAAAUUUGGACACACAGGAUGUGCAUGCAUAGAGGGAUGAACGUGCAUGCCAUUUAUUUGCAAGCCAAGAGGGUAGCCAUUUAUUUGCAAGCCAAGGACAGAGAUCUCAGGAGAGAGUAACCCUGCAUGCACCUUGAUCUUGGACUUUCAGCCUCCAGAACUGUGACAAGUAAAUUUCUGUGGUUUAGGCCACCCGGUCUGUGGCAUUUUGUUAUGGCAGUCCUAGCAAACUAAUAUAAGCACGUAUUGAUCGUAGCUGAAGCCAAGGAAUUUAUGAGGUCAUGAGCUAGAAGUAUACAGUAAGAAGAAAAGUCUACCUCGGUGAGAAUUCUGUGGAAUACUUCACAUUUUUAAACAGCCAGGUGGAGGAAAAGUAGUUCCCAAAAGAGAAUGGCAAGGAUUGUCUGGGAGGUGGUAGAAAAAUCAGCACAGACUGAUGGGAACCAAAGAGAAAGUUUCCAAAAAGGAGGGGGUACUACAGAGAAGGCAAGGAAGACAAAGCCUGAAAAUAAUCUUGGCAAGUCGGUGGACCUCACAAAUGCACCUAAAGAAGAAUAAUUCUAUCAGAAUGAUUCUUAAUGAAGCCAUACUCUACGGGAUUGGCAUUUGAAUGGGAGGUGGGGAAAGGGAACAUAACUCUUUUAAGAAGAUUGACCAUGAAAUGAAGAAUCAUGCUCUAUAAAGUCUUAGCAUAAUUUUUAAUGACUGCAUAAUUGUCCAACAUUUGAUUGUGUUGCUUUCCUGUUGUGUUCAUUAGAAAUUUGUUUCCUUUUUAUUUAUUUAUUACUGUUUUAAAUAACUGAAAAAUAUAUUUCACUACAUUCUACUUUGCACUAGAAUCAGUUCCUUAGGCAUGAUUGCUAGAAUUGCAAUUGUUGGAUCAAGGAGUAUAAACAAUUUUAAGGCGCUUGUUAGAUCCAUCAAAUAAUUUUCUAGGAGGGAUAUACCUAUUUAUGCUUUCACGUGCAUGUAUGAGAGUGCCAAUUUCAUUACUUCCUAGACAGAACUGAAUUUCAUGAUUUUUAAAAACAUCUUUGUGUUCUCUACUAAAGGGAUCCUUACAGAACUAAUUCUAGACCUGGAGCAAGGAUAGUUCAAGCUGAAUCUGGUAUAUAUUAUUGGGUAAGAAGGUAAGGGGGAAAGGCAUGUCAAAUGUACAUGGGAGCUGCUUGAAGGGGCUCUCACUGGGCAAAUCAGGGAAACCUUGACUCAAAAAGAGUGGUGCAGUAAUGAAUCAUAAUAUACUGUAAAAAAAUCACGAGUCUGUACUGAUACUAUUAAAAAUAAACUGAGGCAUAUUACAAUUUUUGAGAGUUUAUUUGAGCAGGAAUUGGGCAUUGCCAAAUGUGAAAUGAUUGGAAGCACUACAAUGACAGGAGCUAGGGGAAAGACUUUUAUAGAGAAGAGGC